Molecule: long non-coding RNA, 789 nt
Organism: Mytilus trossulus (common blue mussel)
Lineage: Eukaryota; Metazoa; Mollusca; Bivalvia; Mytilida; Mytilidae
Exons: 3
Source: RefSeq, a predicted model, not a curated record
ACAGUGUAAAUGACAUGGUCAUAGUAAUAUGACAUUGUCUUUUAACAUGAAAGACUAUUUACUUUACUAUUGUGACUGUGUUAUCCUGAUUGAAAUCUAAAUUGAUUUAGGAAAGUGCUUUGUAACCGCUGAGGAGACGUUAGGAUGAAAAUAUUUAGAUUUCUACUUGGACAAUGACUUUUAAACUUUCAGACAGGUCUGCAUAUCAGUAUAGUCCAAGUGAAUUAGUAAUAGUUCUGAGUUGUGUGGGUUUUUUUUUAUAUAGAAUUAGAAGGUUAUAUAUAUCAUGGCAGGAAUAGGAUACAGACCAAACUUUUUUGAAAAAUACUUCCGCAUUGUUGAAAAGGUUGCAUUGCAUGGAAAUCCGAUCAUCGACUCGUUCCCUACAGAUCACAAAGACAUAAAAAUCACUUUACCUGCACAUGUGGAAGCAAUGAAGGUAAAUGGGUUAGUUUCCGAAAACGCGUCCGAUGGUGAGGUUUUUGCAAGUAUUGCGACUUUAAAAUUAGCAUCAAUGUAUCUGAGGCGGGGAGUUCAGGAAUCAGCUGUAAAAAGAACAAGAAAGCCAAAAAAAUAUAGUCAGCGAAUUGCCUAUGACUUCUGAAGUUGGUGAUGGAUGCAAAGAUUUGGAAAUAUUGUUAGUCGCAAGAAAGGGUUUUAUAGGGAAAUGCAAUAAAAGUAAAUAAAUCUAAAUUUAUUUCAGUGGAGACAUUUGUAUGAAAAACGUUUUUUGUCUGACUAGUUUAUUUAGUGAUUCAUAGACAUGUGAUGGUAUGUCAAUGUAUUUAG